UAAAAAUGUAAAAUGUUAAUUAAAAAAUUAAUAGUUAUGAUCUUUAAAUUUAAAAAAUUUGGCGGUAUUUUAGUCUAUUCAGAGGAACCUGUUCUAUAAUUGAUAAUCCACGAUUAGAAAUACUUAAAUUAAAAGUUUGUAUAUCGUUGUUUAAAUGAUUUUAUAAGAAAAAUAAUUAUUAAAAUAUUUAAUUAAAUAAAUAAUCAAAUCAAGGUGCAGUUUAUAUUUAAGAAGAAAUGGGUUACAAUAAAAAUUAUUUAUAUGGAUUAUAUUAUUAAAUUAAUAUAUAAAGGAGGAUUUGAUAGUAAAUAUAUAUAUUUAUAUAUAUUGAUUAUAGCUCUAUAAUAUGU
This 350-nucleotide ribosomal RNA is filed under the name Orectogyrus heros. RNAcentral's name for it is "partial 12S ribosomal RNA". Lineage: Eukaryota; Metazoa; Arthropoda; Insecta; Coleoptera; Gyrinidae. The record is from RNAcentral.